AUUGAACGCUGGCGGCAGGCCUAACACAUGCAAGUCGAGCGGUAGCACAGAGAGCUUGCUCUCGGGUGACGAGCGGCGGACGGGUGAGUAAUGUCUGGGAAACUGCCUGAUGGAGGGGGAUAACUACUGGAAACGGUAGCUAAUACCGCAUAACGUCGCAAGACCAAAGUGGGGGACCUUCGGGCCUCAUGCCAUCAGAUGUGCCCAGAUGGGAUUAGCUAGUAGGUGGGGUAACGGCUCACCUAGGCGACGAUCCCUAGCUGGUCUGAGAGGAUGACCAGCCACACUGGAACUGAGACACGGUCCAGACUCCUACGGGAGGCAGCAGUGGGGAAUAUUGCACAAUGGGCGCAAGCCUGAUGCAGCCAUGCCGCGUGUGUGAAGAAGGCCUUCGGGUUGUAAAGCACUUUCAGCGGGGAGGAAGGCGGUGAGGUUAAUAACCUCAUCGAUUGACGUUACCCGCAGAAGAAGCACCGGCUAACUCCGUGCCAGCAGCCGCGGUAAUACGGAGGGUGCAAGCGUUAAUCGGAAUUACUGGGCGUAAAGCGCACGCAGGCGGUCUGUCAAGUCGGAUGUGAAAUCCCCGGGCUCAACCUGGGAACUGCAUUCGAAACUGGCAGGCUAGAGUCUUGUAGAGGGGGGUAGAAUUCCAGGUGUAGCGGUGAAAUGCGUAGAGAUCUGGAGGAAUACCGGUGGCGAAGGCGGCCCCCUGGACAAAGACUGACGCUCAGGUGCGAAAGCGUGGGGAGCAAACAGGAUUAGAUACCCUGGUAGUCCACGCCGUAAACGAUGUCGAUUUGGAGGUUGUGCCCUUGAGGCGUGGCUUCCGGAGCUAACGCGUUAAAUCGACCGCCUGGGGAGUACGGCCGCAAGGUUAAAACUCAAAUGAAUUGACGGGGGCCCGCACAAGCGGCGGAGCAUGUGGUUUAAUUCGAUGCAACGCGAAGAACCUUACCUGGUCUUGACAUCCACAGAACUUUCCAGAGAUGGAUUGGUGCCUUCGGGAACUGUGAGACAGGUGCUGCAUGGCUGUCGUCAGCUCGUGUUGUGAAAUGUUGGGUUAAGUCCCGCAACGAGCGCAACCCUUAUCCUUUGUUGCCAGCGGUCCGGCCGGGAACUCAAAGGAGACUGCCAGUGAUAAACUGGAGGAAGGUGGGGAUGACGUCAAGUCAUCAUGGCCCUUACGACCAGGGCUACACACGUGCUACAAUGGCAUAUACAAAGAGAAGCGACCUCGCGAGAGCAAGCGGACCUCAUAAAGUAUGUCGUAGUCCGGAUUGGAGUCUGCAACUCGACUCCAUGAAGUCGGAAUCGCUAGUAAUCGUAGAUCAGAAUGCUACGGUGAAUACGUUCCCGGGCCUUGUACACACCGCCCGUCACACCAUGGGAGUGGGUUGCAAAAGAAGUAGGUAGCUUAACCUUCGGGAGGGCGCUUACCACUUUGUGAUUCAUGACUGGGGUGA
Molecule: ribosomal RNA, 1463 nt
Filed under: uncultured Klebsiella sp.
Lineage: Bacteria; Pseudomonadati; Pseudomonadota; Gammaproteobacteria; Enterobacterales; Enterobacteriaceae
Description: bacterial SSU rRNA
Rfam family: Bacterial small subunit ribosomal RNA
Source: RNAcentral